Long non-coding RNA from Strongylocentrotus purpuratus (purple sea urchin), 335 nucleotides. RefSeq lists it as uncharacterized. NCBI's taxonomy places the organism in Eukaryota, Metazoa, Echinodermata, Echinoidea, Camarodonta, Strongylocentrotidae. The transcript is spliced from 3 exons. The record is from RefSeq and is a predicted model, not a curated record.
AUCUUGUGAGCAAGUUCGUUACCAACUCUAAACUCAGAAUAAUAUUAGCAGACGAUGAAUUGUCCAAGAGUAAUAUGAUUCGAGUGAUGAUCUACUUCGAGACGCUGAACGUAGAGCGCGUGGAGCAAAUGCCCCGAUACACAAUUCCAAAUAUUCUGGGUAAUUUAGGUGGACUCAUGGGCUUAUUCACCGGGAUGUCGUUCGUCAGUUUGUUUGAGGUCACCUUUCUCCUGCUAAAGGUCACACAAAUCACUUUCACCAAAUUCUUUUUUGCCAACCGAGUGCAUUCUCUUAAAGCCUAAUUGAUAAUAUGUAAGAGGUGUUUUCUUAUUCGA